GCCGCUAUAGCUCAGUUGGUAGAGCAACGCAUUCGUAACGCGUAGGUCACCGGUUCAAGUCCGGUUAGCGGCU
This 73-nucleotide transfer RNA is filed under the name Bacteroides sp. RNAcentral's name for it is "tRNA-Thr". It matches the Rfam family "tRNA". Rfam says of the family: Transfer RNA (tRNA) molecules are approximately 80 nucleotides in length. Their secondary structure includes four short double-helical elements and three loops (D, anti-codon, and T loops). Further hydrogen bonds mediate the characteristic L-shaped molecular structure. tRNAs have two regions of fundamental functional importance: the anti-codon, which is responsible for specific mRNA codon recognition, and the 3' end, to which the tRNAs corresponding amino acid is attached (by aminoacyl-tRNA synthetases). tRNAs cope with the degeneracy of the genetic code in two manners: having more than one tRNA (with a specific anti-codon) for a particular amino acid; and 'wobble' base-pairing, i.e. permitting non-standard base-pairing at the 3rd anti-codon position. The record is from RNAcentral. Lineage: Bacteria; Pseudomonadati; Bacteroidota; Bacteroidia; Bacteroidales; Bacteroidaceae.